Lytechinus variegatus (green sea urchin) is the source of this 185-nucleotide long non-coding RNA. RefSeq lists it as uncharacterized. The transcript has 3 exons. Lineage: Eukaryota; Metazoa; Echinodermata; Echinoidea; Temnopleuroida; Toxopneustidae. The record is from RefSeq and is a predicted model, not a curated record.
UUUGCCAUGCAUAGCUUUAACUAGACGAUCUGUUUUUUAUUUUGGACCACUCUUUUGGAACUCAUUACCGAAUUCUGUUAAAUUAUCAAAAUCUUUAAAUCAAUUUAAACGUGCAUGUCUUCGAAACAAAACACUUUUAAACACGGCUUUCCAUUUAUUGUAAUGAUUUGUUUUCACCCCCCCCC